UGCCUACCCUCCUCUCCAUUCUCACGUACUUGACGCCUUCCUUCUCUUCCUCGCGCUUCCUCUCUCCGCUGAUCACCAGCACAUUGUCGUCCUCCACCUGAACCUUGAUGUCGCCGGACUUCAGCCCCGGCAUGUCGACGAUGAAGGUGUAGGAAUUCGGGUACUCCUUGACGUCAGCAGGCGUCGCCGCCAUGGCCUUGGCGUCGCGGACGUAGGUGCGAGUGGGGGCGCUGACGGACUUGUCGGAGUCAUCGGUGGCGUCUAGCAUGUGUUGGAGGGCAGAGAAGAGUGGAGAAUCGAAGCCCAUCAUCCUCGAAUCCAUGUUGGGUGUCAGAGAUUUGUUGGUGUGAGAUUGUGAACAACUGCAAUUGCGAAUGUAGAAGUGCUUGAAUGUUGGAAGAAAUCGGAGGCAGUGAUGUGGAUUUUAUAGAAGACGAGUUGGGAAACAGAGGAAGGUUCUGGAAAGAACAAGAAGAGGAGAAUUGGGGGUUUGUCUUUGUUGGCUCUGCUCCAACGGUUCCAGAACCAGAAGUUUGUGGAAGUUUCUCCUAAAUGACUAAAGUACCCCUUAUUUGUUCAUAAAAAAUUACCUUUUGAAAGAAGUUCCAUUUCUACUUACACAGUAGUUCACAAAUCUUUUAUCAUAUUAUUAUCAACAAGCUAUGGUUUUGAUCAAUGCUUGGUGUAAAUUUUUAUUUUGAUUUUAGAAGAAAAAAAAAGACAUAAUUUUAAAAGGUAUUAUUAUAGUAAAAGUUAAAAUAAAUUUUUUAAAUAAAAUCAUUUUUUAGGAAAUGUUUAAAAAACCAACUUAAUAAUUUAAAGUGAAUUAAUAAUUUAAUUUAAGUUAUUAAGUAAAUUAAGUAUGUUUGGUAAAAUAACUUAAUGAUAUCACUAAAAAUAAAAAUAAAAAUUAAUUUUUAAAUAAAAAUAAUUAACUUAUUCUUAAAUCUAUAUUUUUAUUUUUAUUUACCAUCAUUUAUCCGAAUUAUUCUCAUAAUCUAUUUUACUACUUCAUGAUUUCCAUUGUUACUUAAACUACUUUGUCCUCAUUAUAAUUUAUGAAAAUAAUCAUAUCAAUUUGAUGAUUUACAAUAAAUUUUCAGUUAAUUUUAUUAAACAACCUUAAUAUUUGAAAUGAGAAUUAAGUAAUAAGUUUUAAGACUAAUAAUUUAAGUAUAAUUUAACUUAAAAUCAACUUAAAUAAUUAAAUAAUAAGUAAUAAGUUUUACCAAAUAUCAUUUUAAUAUUGUUCUUAUAAUAAAGUUAGUUAAAUAAAUAUAAGAAUUUUUAUUAAUCAUAUAAUAGAGUUUUUGAACUUAGAUUCACUUCAAUCCAACUUGUGUUUUAUCUUUUAAAAUUUAAAAGUUAAACAUAUCUAAGCAUCAACAAUUUAAAAAAAUUUGCUCUUUAUUUCUAAAUCGUACAUUAAUAAUAAUAGACUAAUCAAUUAUGAGUAUGGAUAAUUUGCCCCUUAUAAAUUGUUGGUUUAAGGGUAUGAAAAAAAGGACUAGUCCAAAGCACACAAAUAAAUAACGUAAUGAAUAGUAAGAAAAAUUUAUAGGUUGAGGUGUAACAAACAUUGUCCUUAAAAUAGAUCAACUCUCCUCGAAGACGAACUUGGUACACUUAGGUACUAGUGGUCCACCUUCAGGAUUCAAUAGUCAUUGAGUGCACUUUGUAAGCGAGACGUGUACAACUCAGGUUCAUGAAAAAUUCGUAUUCAUAUUUAGAGAGUGAUGAGUGAUAUGCUUUUAUGACUAAUAAAAUAAGAUAAAAAAAAAAAAGUAGCAUAGAUCAUCGCACACGUACGCAAAGGGCCUUCCACGCAAGAUGCAUGUGGGGAUCGAAGCCCCACUCAAAUGGGUUUGGCCCCAAUGGGCGCGCAAGACUCACCCACACCUCUUCACAAGCCCAUUGGGCUAAGGAAGGUUAAUAAACCCAUUAAAGAUGUUCAUCUCUUUCCUAUGUCGACAAGCAAAAAAUACUUUUCACAUUUACACUCUUCCUGCUAUGCAAGUCAAGUUGGGUACAUUUUGUUUGGAUUGAACAAGGUGUAGAAGGAUUAAAUAGAAGUACAUCAUUGAUGAUAAUAUUGCUUAAAUUUAUUUAAAGUCUUUAAUAACUUUUCAGCUUUGUAACUUCAUUAUUCUAAUACCAGUCAUUACAUUUGAUCAUUUUCAAAGAGAACAACUCUUCCCUGAGACAAAUAUGGUGUCACUCUCCCAAUCUAAAUUACAAAUUUAGAUUAUCAAAUUCCCUACCCAAAAUCUAAUCUUCCCAAUUUAAAAAAGACUUGUAGUGAAGUUGUCAACCAGAGGAAAUACCACACCUUACUAUGGCUUUUUAAUUGCCGUUAAAUCUUAAAAAUUUUCCAGGAAAAAUGAAAACGAGGCAAGGAAGAGAAAAGGCAGACUUCAUUGACGGUACUGAAAAAUCAAAACUACACAUUAUACUGUAAUGAAGAGAUCAGUAUCUUCAUCACCCCAAGCCAUUGACCCAAGAUCAAACCCAAACAAAGGCCCCUGUGGCAUUAUUUACUAUUAAAAACCCAGAAAAACCCUCCCAAAACCCCCUACAUUUCAAGCAAUUUUGACCUCAAUGGUCUUGGGCUUCUUGGGCUCCGGCGGUGGCAGCUUCUCAACGGUGACGGUCAACACCCCAUCUUGACAUACAGCAGAGAUCUUAUCAGUAUUCGCAUUCUCCGGCAACACGAACUUCCUCAUAAACUUCCCCACUCUCCUCUCCAUUCUUACGUACUUGGCACCUUCCUUCUCCUCCUCCCGCUUCCUCUCUCCGCUGAUCACCAGCACAUUGCCGUCCUCCACCUGAACCUUGAUGUCGCCGGACCUCAGCCCCGGCAUGUCGACGAUGAAGGUGUAGGAAUUCGGGUACUCCUUGACGUCAGCCGGCGUCGCCGCCAUGGCCUUGGCGUCCCGGACGUAGGUGCGGGUGGGAGCGUUGAGAGACUUGUCGGAAUCGUCGCCGGCGUCGAGCAUGUGUUGGAGGGUUGAGAAGAGUGGAGAAUCAAAACCCAUGACCCUCAAAUCCAUUUUGCUUUUCAGCGAUUAGUCUCUGAGAUCUGCUAAGAUUUGUAAAUGAAAAUGUUGGAAUUGAUUUUCUUAUGAGGAAUUCAUGCCGGUGGUGUGGUUCUUAUAGGUGGUGGGUUUGGGUUUGGAAGCAGAGGAGUUUCUGGAAGAAGAGAGAAGAGCAACACUGGUAGCUUCCGGAGCUUUGACUCAAAAUAGUGUGUUUUAAAAAAAAUUUCAAAAAAUAAAGUUGUUUUGAAAAUAAUGUCCGAUCUGAUGCGUCUUGUGUCACAUAAACUGCCAUGUCAUAAAACCGUAGUUGGUGACUACGGUUUUAUUUUUCUAAAGUGGUUAGAAACCAUAGUUACCAACCACAGUUUUAACUUUAAGUUUAAAUAUAGUGCCUAUUGUUUUAAUAAAAUUUAAAAAUAUAUUUUUAUAUCAAAUUAAAAAUAUCAAUUAUUUAAUUUCGUAUAUUAUUAUUUUUAAAAUAAUGAAAUAAGUAUAUUUAAAAUCAAAAUAAUAUAAUAUUUUUAUUAAAAAAAUUAAAGUUAUAUAUAAAUAUAUAUAAAGUUAAAACCGCAGUUGGUGACUACGACUUUGACCAUCUUAAAAAAAAGUCAAAGCCGUAGUCACCAAUUACGACUUUAAACUUAAAGUUAAAACCGUUAUUGGUAACUACAAUUUCUAACCACUUUAGAAAAAUAAAAUCAUAGUUACCAACUACGAUUUUAUGAUAUGACAGCUUAUGUGGCACAGACGCAUUAGAUCGAGCAUUAUUUUCAAAACAACUUUAUUUUUUGGAAUUUUUUUUUAAAACGCACUAUUUUGGAUCAAAGCUCUAGCUUCCGGAAGUUUUAUGGACCUUCUUACAAGUUAAAACGGAAAAAGUCAAAUUGACUAAAGUGCCCUUCUGUCUCUAUGGCUGCAAAAUCCCGUUAUGUGGACGCCUUGAAUGUUGUUGCUGUAAUUAAGACAGCAAUCUAAAUUUUUUCACCGAUACCCUUUUACAGUAUCCGUCUCCCGUGUAGAAGUUUUCACCCGUGGGUAACCGAUAAGAACAACAAAACAAUUAAAAUCUCUAUAACAUUCCCCAAAAAAUAAAAAAAUAAAAAAUUGUUCUCAAAUUAGAUAAUCACCUAACAAAACAAAUCUAGAAUGUUUGAAUUGAUUUUCAAUUAAAUUAUAUUUAAAUUAUUAAUUUAAAAUUUAUUAUUUAAUCAAUAUUUUAAAUAUUAAAAUUAUUUAAUAAAAUUAACUUAAAAUUUAUUCUAAAUUAUCAAAUUAAUAUAUUUAUUACCAUCAAUAAUAAUUAAAAUAAAACAUCGAUAAAAAAAUAAAAUAAAAAUAUAGAUGUAAAAAUAAAUUAAAAUUAUCUUUUAUUUUAAAUCAUAAUAUUAAAUUAUUUUACCAAAUAUACUAUACUUAAUUUAAUUAAUGACUUAAUUUAAAUUAUUAAAUUAAUUUACCUAUAUAUUAUAAUCUUAUAAACACACCCACCUACAAAUUUUCAAGAUUUCUAAAAUAUCCUUCUUUUUAUAAUCUUUCACAUGUCUUUUUUCUUCCUUUUUUCCAAAACUUAUUUGUUAGCAAAAGGAUAUUUAAGGUAAAUUUAUAGUUAAUUUCAACUUUACAAAUUUUAAUAAAAAAUUAUUACUUAGAAAUAAUUUAAAAAAUAUUUUAGAAGUGAAAAAUGCUGAAAACCCAAAAAAAUAAAAGGAAAAAAAUUCAUAGUAAUUCAAACUUGUAAUACUAAACAUAGAAAGAAAUUAUGUCGGAAAAUAUAGUUGCAAACAACUUUGUGAAUAUUUGAAAUAUUUUAAGGCUAUUUUGCAAUGUUUUAAAAAUCGGAUUGAUUAUUGAAUAAAAAAAGUUAUCGGUACAUGGUUCACUAGUUGGACCGUCGGUCGAACCGCUAUCGAACCGGUGACGUCAUAAAUAUAUAUUUUAUUAUUUUAUAUAAUAUAAAAAAUUAAAACAUUAAUAAAUUCUAUGUAAAUUUUGACAACAUCUAUUUUGUUUAUUGAGUAACUUGAGUUUUGUCACAAAAUUUUUUACCUGUAGAAGUCAUCAAUUAUCAUAUAUGAUAUUUAUAAAACAAUAUAAGAUGUUAUACAUUCAUAAUAUCAAUAAACUCAACAUUAUCAAAUAAUCAAACCAUUACUAUCCUAUAAUAACCAAAUUAUCAAAGAGUUAUUAACUUAACACAUUGUCCAUAACAAAUAAUACAAAUAUCAACCAUAGGUCCACAACACUAAAAUAAUUACUCAAAAUAAAAACAUAACAUGUCAAUGUUUGAAUAUUCAUGAAGAUUUUUGCAUACUAAUAAAUAUAAAAUUCAUGUUUUCAUUCAUUUUGGAAAUUGGAAUAUGGAGAUUGAAAAUGAGCAUUUGAAAAACCAAAAAAAAAAAUUAAAAUCAUUUGAACCGGUUUUUUUCCUCAGAACCGGCCGGUUCGUCUGGUUCACCGGUUGGACCGCCAGUUCAAGCGGUCCAAUCCCGAUUCGGUCUCCAUCCGGUCUAAUGACCGGACCGAACCGGAACGGUGACCGACCGACGGUCCAACCGGUCUAGUCCGGUUUUUAAAACCAUGCUAUUUUGGUUAUUUUAAUAAAAACAUUUUUGUUUUUAUUUUUUUAUAUUUUAAUUUUUUUUUAAAUAUAUCUUCAAAACAAAAACAAAUUCAAGCAUAUGUAAUCGUGACCCAAUUCGGUUAGCAAAUCCAAAAUCUAAUCCCAACAUAAAACCUUAAUAUAUAUGGCACCUUAAAUUUGAGGUAAUGAAAAUGGCACACUAAAAAUAAGGGAAAAGGUUUCACUCGUAGAGAUGAAGAUUGAAGACUACAUACUGACUUGGGAGACAUCGGGUACAAGAUCCCAAAAACCAACACACCCUCAUAUACACCGAACCCAAACACAACCCAAAAUCACGCAAAAUCCAAGAAGAUAUAAACACAAGCUCGUCACAUCCAUGACCUCAAAUUUCCAAACCCCAAAGAUCUCAAGCAACCUUCACCUCAAUGGUCUUGGGCUUCUUCGGCUCCGGCGGUGGCAGCUUCUCAACGGUGACGGUCAACACACCAUCUUGACAAACCGCAGAGAUCUUAUCAGUAUUCGCAUUUUCCGGCAACACAAACUUCCUCAUAAACUUCCCCACCCUCCUCUCCAUUCUCACGUACUUGGCGCCUUCCUUCUCCUCCUCCCGCUUCCUUUCUCCGCUGAUCACCAGCACAUUGUCGUCCUCCACCUGCACCUUGAUGUCGCCGGACUUCAGCCCCGGCAUGUCGAUGAUGAAGACAUAGGAAUUGGGGUACUCCUUGACGUCGGCCGGCGUCGCAGCCAUGGCCUUGGCGUCGCGAACGUAGGUGCGGGUUGGAGCGCUGACGGGCUUAUCAGCGUCAUCGACGCCGUCGAGCAUGUGUUGGAGGGUUGAGAGUGGAGAAUCGAAGCCCAUGAUUCUCAAGUCCAUAUUGGAUUUUCAGACGAUGAUUGAUGAGUAG
RNAcentral lists this long non-coding RNA (6524 nucleotides) under Vitis vinifera (wine grape). Its description in RNAcentral is "long non-coding RNA (VVIN_LNC000910)". The record is from RNAcentral. Lineage: Eukaryota; Viridiplantae; Streptophyta; Magnoliopsida; Vitales; Vitaceae.